GACAGAGGCCUCAAGCGUUAGGCGGAAUCACUGGGCUUAAAGCGUGUGUAGGCGGAUCGUUAAGUGCCUUGUGAAAUCCCACGGCUUAACUGUGGAACGGCUGGGCAUACUGGCGGUCUUGAGCCAUCUAGGGGCGACUGGAACAAACGGUGGAGCGGUGAAAUGUGUAGAGAUCGGGAGGAACACCGGUGGCGAAGGCGGGUCUCUGGGCAAUUCCUGACGCUGAGGCGCGAAAGCGUGGGGAGCAAACGGG
RNAcentral lists this ribosomal RNA (253 nucleotides) under uncultured bacterium. RNAcentral describes it as "partial 16S ribosomal RNA". It matches the Rfam family "Bacterial small subunit ribosomal RNA", at positions 524 to 776 of the family's 1533-position model. The record is from RNAcentral.